GAUGAAGAACGCAGCGAAAUGCGAUAAGUAGUGUGAAUUGCAGAAUUCAGUGAAUCAUCGAAUCUUUGAACGCACAUUGCGCCCCUUGGUAUUCCAUGGGGCAUGCCUGUUCGAGCGUCAUUUGUACCUUCAAGCUUUGCUUGGUGUUGGGUGUUUGUCUCGCCUUUGCGUGUAGACUCGCCUUAAAACAAUUGGCAGCCGGCGUACUUGUUUCGGAGCGCAGCACAUUUUGCGAUCCAGAUCAACGUACAGCGGCAUCCAAGAAGCCUUAUUUAACGCUCUUGACCUCGGAUCAGGUAGGGAUACCCGCUGAACUUAAGCAUAUCAACAAGCGGAGGA
This 339-nucleotide unclassified non-coding RNA is filed under the name soil metagenome. RNAcentral's name for it is "partial contains 5.8S ribosomal RNA, internal transcribed spacer 2, and large subunit ribosomal RNA". The stretch from base 1 to 120 matches the Rfam family "5.8S ribosomal RNA", at positions 35 to 154 of the family's 154-position model. The record is from RNAcentral.